This 546-nucleotide ribosomal RNA is filed under the name Nocardia sp. Sp080513SC-32. RNAcentral's name for it is "bacterial SSU rRNA". It matches the Rfam family "Bacterial small subunit ribosomal RNA", at positions 60 to 623 of the family's 1533-position model. The record is from RNAcentral. Lineage: Bacteria; Bacillati; Actinomycetota; Actinomycetes; Mycobacteriales; Nocardiaceae.
AGUCGAGCGGUAAGGCCCUUCGGGGUACACGAGCGGCGAACGGGUGAGUAACACGUGGGUGAUCUGCCUUGCACUCUGGGAUAAGCCUGGGAAACUGGGUCUAAUACCGGAUAUGACCUUCGGCUUCCUGGUCGUUGGUGGAAAGAUUUAUCGGUGCAAGAUGAGCCCGCGGCCUAUCAGCUUGUUGGUGGGGUAAUGGCCUACCAAGGCGACGACGGGUAGCCGGCCUGAGAGGGCGACCGGCCACACUGGGACUGAGACACGGCCCAGACUCCUACGGGAGGCAGCAGUGGGGAAUAUUGCACAAUGGGCGGAAGCCUGAUGCAGCGACGCCGCGUGAGGGAUGACGGCCUUCGGGUUGUAAACCUCUUUCGACUCCGACGAAGCGAGAGUGACGGUAGGAGUAUAAGAAGCACCGGCCAACUACGUGCCAGCAGCCGCGGUAAUACGUAGGGUGCGAGCGUUGUCCGGAAUUACUGGGCGUAAAGAGCUUGUAGGCGGCUUGUCGCGUCGAUCGUGAAAACUCGGGGCUCAACCCCGAGCUUG